AGUGAACGCUGGCGGUAGGCCUAACACAUGCAAGUCGAACGGCAGCACAGGAGAGCUUGCUCUCUGGGUGGCGAGUGGCGGACGGGGGAGGAAUACAUCGGAAUCUACUCUGUCGUGGGGGAUAACGUAGGGAAACUUACGCUAAUACCGCAUACGACCUACCGGUUAAAGCAGGGGACCUUCCGGACUUGCGCGAUUGAAUGAGCCGAUGUGGGAUUAGCUAGUUGGCGGGGUAAAGGCCCACGAAGGGGACGAUCCGUAGCUGGUCUGAGAGGAUGAUCAGCCACACUGGAACGGAGACACGGGACAGACGCCUGCGGGAGGCAGCAGUGGGGAAUAUUGGACAAUGGGCGCAAGCCUGAUCCAGCCAUACCUCGUGGGUGAAGAAGGCCUUCGGGUUGUAAAGCCCUUUUGUUGGGAAAGAAAUCCAGCUGGCUAAUACCCGGUUGGGAUGACGGUACCCAAAGAAUAAGCACCGGCUAACUUCGUGCCAGCCGCCGCCGUAA
RNAcentral lists this ribosomal RNA (506 nucleotides) under uncultured bacterium. RNAcentral's name for it is "partial 16S ribosomal RNA". It matches the Rfam family "Bacterial small subunit ribosomal RNA", at positions 29 to 523 of the family's 1533-position model. The record is from RNAcentral.